Physella acuta is the source of this 348-nucleotide long non-coding RNA. RefSeq lists it as uncharacterized. The record is from RefSeq and is a predicted model, not a curated record. NCBI's taxonomy places the organism in Eukaryota, Metazoa, Mollusca, Gastropoda, Physidae.
AUGUUGCUGCACUGACAGUGUGUCAGUGAACGCAUCCGUCGUCUCUAUGACUAGGUGUCAGACUAAGUGUAAGGGAAGUAAUCUAAACCACGACGAGUUCUGUGGGGGCGGUGAGAGUUUUGUCUCCGUCUAUAAAACAGGUUUGACCUCAGUGGAUGAAAAAACAAAACACCCGACCUAUGACCGCUUAUGGAUGCACCCCAAUAUUGAUGAAAGGGACAUUCAUUUACUCGAGCAAAACGAGGAGACAGGAAAUUAAGUCUUUAAAAAUGUAAUCGAGCAAAAAUCGUGUUAUUAAAGUACUGAUUCGCAUGAAAGACUUUAUUUUCCCCAAACACUUUGUCACUG